This 425-nucleotide ribosomal RNA is filed under the name uncultured bacterium. Its description in RNAcentral is "partial 16S ribosomal RNA". It matches the Rfam family "Bacterial small subunit ribosomal RNA", at positions 354 to 796 of the family's 1533-position model. The record is from RNAcentral.
GUGGGGAAUCUUAGACAAUGGGCGCAAGCCUGAUCUAGCCAUGCCGCGUGAGCGAUGAAGGCCUUAGGGUUGUAAAGCUCUUUCGCUGGGGAAGAUAAUGACUGUACCCAGUAAAGAAGCCCCGGCUAACUCCGUGCCAGCAGCCGCGGUAAUACGGAGGGGGCUAGCGUUGUUCGGAAUUACUGGGCGUAAAGCGCGCGUAGGCGGAUUGGAAAGUUGGGGGUGAAAUCCCGGGGCUCAACCUCGGAACUGCCUUCAAAACUCCCAGUCUUGAGUGCGAGAGAGGUGAGUGGAAUUCCGAGUGUAGAGGUGAAAUUCGUAGAUAUUCGGAGGAACACCAGUGGCGAAGGCGGCUCACUGGCUCGAUACUGACGCUGAGGUGCGAAAGCGUGGGGAGCAAACAGGAUUAGAUACCCCGGUAGUCC